Molecule: non-coding RNA, 142 nt
Organism: Myotis brandtii (Brandt's bat)
Lineage: Eukaryota; Metazoa; Chordata; Mammalia; Chiroptera; Vespertilionidae
Source: Rfam
AUUUUCGCUGCUGCACAGAGAGGACCCGUGUCCCGUGGACUGGGAGUUCCUGGAGAGCCGCCUCUGAACAGCUGGCAAUAAUUUCCUAAGUCCCGUCUCUUCAUUUUCCUUGUAAGUAUUCUUGGCUGCUGCACGUUAAUCU